AGCCUCACCUGGCUGAGAGUGAGGUUUGUUUGAGCCCCAUUGUCAUAGCAACAAGGGAAUGUUUGUUAACAGAGCCAGUGACUUCACAGAAGCUGGUCUUAAUUCCACAUUUCUGAAGCUCAGGGAAGAGCAGAGCCAGCCAGGAGAGAAUGUGGAGGCAGAGGAAGACAAUAGUUCCCUUGGAAGAGCUGUGACUACUAGAAAAGUAUGUCCUGCUCAGGGAAGAGCAGAGCCAGCCAGGAGAGAAUGUGGAAGCAGAGGAAGACAAUAGUUCCCUUGGAAGAGCUGUGACUACGAGAAAAGUACUGUCCUGUAUCCUGGAGGGACACCAGAUGGAACCAAAAGACCAUGUUAUUUAAGUCAAUCAGUCAAAAACUAAAACCUUAAUUUACAAUGAAAAAAGUUUUUUAAAAAAAUAAACAAUCUAAAUGACUACUUUCCUGAGCCUGU
Molecule: long non-coding RNA, 450 nt
Filed under: Monodelphis domestica (gray short-tailed opossum)
Lineage: Eukaryota; Metazoa; Chordata; Mammalia; Didelphimorphia; Didelphidae
Description: lncRNA (ENSMODG00000030820.2)
Source: RNAcentral